GAAAGAAAUGAUGAAGAAGUAUCAUCAUGUCCCAAACUCAGUCUCUGCCUUGAGGGAAAACAAAGCUAACACAGGAACAGCCAGUCUUUAACCAAAGGAUUAAUAUCUAAAAUGUCUAAAAACCUCCUACCAACUAGUAAGAAAAGGAAACAAAUAAUACAACAGAAAAGCAGGCCAAAUAUACUGUGGUAGAGACCGCUCUCUUUUUUCCUUAGUAAUAAGAACUCAAAGUUUUGGUUGGGCACAAUGCUGCCCAGCUAGAAGAUGAUACUUACCUGGUCAACAGGCCAUGCCUGUGGAGCAAAGCAGAGCAUGGCAGAGUUAAGAGGAGCUAUGCUGGAUUCUCUCAGGGCUGUAAGGCAUUUUUUUAGCCAGUUUUCUGUUGAUGGACAUAUACAUUGUUUCCAAUCUCACACAGCAAAUUAUUUAGAAAUGCUUUUUUUUAAAAAUAAAUUUAUUUAAUUUAUUUUUGGCUGUGUUGGGUC
Long non-coding RNA from Aethalodelphis obliquidens (Pacific white-sided dolphin), 485 nucleotides. RefSeq lists it as uncharacterized. The transcript has 3 exons. The record is from RefSeq and is a predicted model, not a curated record. Lineage: Eukaryota; Metazoa; Chordata; Mammalia; Artiodactyla; Delphinidae.